RNAcentral lists this ribosomal RNA (418 nucleotides) under uncultured bacterium. Its description in RNAcentral is "bacterial SSU rRNA". It matches the Rfam family "Bacterial small subunit ribosomal RNA", at positions 28 to 453 of the family's 1533-position model. The record is from RNAcentral.
GAUGAACGCUAGCGGCGUGCCUUAUGCAUGCAAGUCGAACGGUCUUAAGCAAUUAAGAUAGUGGCGAACGGGUGAGUAACGCGUAAGUAACCUACCUCUAAGUGGGGGAUAGCUUCGGGAAACUGAAGGUAAUACCGCAUGUGGUGGACCGACAUAUGUUGGUUCACUAAAGCCGUAAGGCGCUUGGUGAGGGGCUUGCGUCCGAUUAGCUAGUUGGUGGGGUAAUGGCCUACCAAGGCUUCGAUCGGUAGCUGGUCUGAGAGGAUGAUCAGCCACACUGGGACUGAGACACGGCCCAGACUCCUACGGGAGGCAGCAGCAAGGAAUCUUGGGCAAUGGGCGAAAGCCUGACCCAGCAACGCCGCGUGAGGGAUGAAGGCUUUCGGGUUGUAAACCUCUUUUCAUAGGGAAGAAUAAA